GAUGAACGCUGGCGGCGUGCUUAACACAUGCAAGUCGAACGGAACACCCUUGAAGGAGUUUUCGGACAACUGAGAGGACUGUUUAGUGGCGGACGGGUGAGUAACGCGUGAGUAACCUGCCUUGGAGUGGGGAAUAACACAAAGAAAUUUGUGCUAAUACCGCAUAAUGCAGCUGAGUCGCAUGGCUCUGGCUGCCAAAGAUUUAUCGCUCUGAGAUGGACUCGCGUCUGAUUAGCUAGUUGGCGGGGUAACGGCCCACCAAGGCGACGAUCAGUAGCCGGACUGAGAGGUUGGCCGGCCACAUUGGGACUGAGACACGGCCCAGACUCCUACGGGAGGCAGCAGUGGGGAAUAUUGGGCAAUGGGCGCAAGCCUGACCCAGCAACGCCGCGUGAAGGAAGAAGGCUUUCGGGUUGUAAACUUCUUUUCUCAGGGACGAAGCAAGUGACGGUACCUGA
RNAcentral lists this ribosomal RNA (458 nucleotides) under uncultured bacterium. RNAcentral describes it as "bacterial SSU rRNA". It matches the Rfam family "Bacterial small subunit ribosomal RNA", at positions 28 to 482 of the family's 1533-position model. The record is from RNAcentral.